UAUAGUGAGGAGUGCAUUUCUCAGUCAUGUCAUGUCAGUAAUGUUAGAGUCCCACAUUGGCUAGAGAUGUCUAUGGGAAUUCCUAAUCAUUCAUAAGUAAUUGAAAAAACAUGUCCCCUAUGUCGAUACGCUGAAUGGGACAUACAGAUACAAGAUUUGAAUAGUAGUGAAGGUUUUCUGAUAGGAAUUUGUAUUGAAACAUGGGGAUAGUCAAAAUUGGCGAGCAUAAUAGAUGAGGACAAGUGUGUACAGAGUACAGACAAACGCUGCCCAUGUUUCAAGCAAAAGGAUAUGCAACACUAGCUAAGGUAGCAAGUUGUAGAAUGCCACCACUUUUAGCUCCAAGCAUUGUCCAAACCAAAUGAGUACCUACUACUAUAAAUAGGUUUGCAAGGGUAGUAAAAGAAUGAGCAAGGUGAAGAAGAUGGUGAAAAAAGCAGCUUUGGUCAUUGCUUUCUCAUGCCUCUUGCUGGUGAUGGCUUUCACAGCCAUUUCAGCCAAUGCAGAUAAAACAAGCGGUCAUCUCCCAACUUCCAAUAAUAUGGUUUACUAUCCUCAAGCAGGUUGUCGAUGCUGCACGUUCAUAUUGAAGCCAAUGCUCAGAUGUGGCAAAGUAUGCUGUGUAGAUGGUUGUUGCUCUUCAACUUGAACGUCACAAGGCUAAAGAAGACACCCUCUAAGUUCAUACACCUCUUACCCAGAAACAUAAGUAUGUGCUACUAAAUAAUUAUGCAGGAAACCAAAUGAAUAAGUGCCCUGCAUAGAAGUUUGUUGUGUAAUUGAAUAUUGAUUACUAAUGUAAUCAAACUUUUACUUUGAA
Long non-coding RNA from Lotus japonicus, 820 nucleotides. RefSeq lists it as uncharacterized. The transcript has 2 exons. The record is from RefSeq and is a predicted model, not a curated record. NCBI's taxonomy places the organism in Eukaryota, Viridiplantae, Streptophyta, Magnoliopsida, Fabales, Fabaceae.